This 379-nucleotide ribosomal RNA is filed under the name uncultured cyanobacterium. Its description in RNAcentral is "bacterial SSU rRNA". It matches the Rfam family "Bacterial small subunit ribosomal RNA", at positions 376 to 770 of the family's 1533-position model. The record is from RNAcentral. Lineage: Bacteria; Bacillati; Cyanobacteriota.
CGAAAGCCUGACGGAGCAACGCCGCGUGUGGGAAGAAGGCUCUUGGGCUGUCAACCACUUUUCUCAGGGAAGAAGUCCUGACGGUACCAGAGGAAUCAGCCUCGGCUAACUCCGUGCCAGCAGCCGCGGUAAUACGGAGGAGGCAAGCGUUAUCCGGAAUUAUUGGGCGUAAAGCGUCCGUAGGUGGUUCAUCAAGUCAGCUGUUAAAGAGCGGAGCUCAACUCCGUCGGAGCGGUUGAAACUGGUGAACUAGAGUUUGGUAGGGGUCGAGGGAAUUCCCAGUGUAGCGGUGGAAUGCGUAGAUAUUGGGAAGAACACCGGUGGCGAAAGCGCUCGGCUGGGCCAAAACUGACACUGAGGGACGAAAGCUAGGGGAGCG